Molecule: long non-coding RNA, 1932 nt
Filed under: Salmo salar (Atlantic salmon)
Lineage: Eukaryota; Metazoa; Chordata; Actinopteri; Salmoniformes; Salmonidae
Description: lncRNA (ENSSSAG00000081980.1)
Source: RNAcentral
CUCCAGUCCUCAAGGGUUUGAUUGGUGUCGCACAUUUUCUCCAUCCCUAGCAAACAUAGCUGAUUAAUCAAAUGUCAUUCUAAACUGAAGAUCAUGAUUAGGUGAUUAUUGGAGUCAGGUGUGUUAGCUGGAGCUGGGGCAAAGCUGUGAUACCAAUCAGGCCCUGGAGUAUUGGGUGCCCUGGGUAUUGGCCACUUUCUCUCUCUUUGAUGGUUAUACAUAUCUGGGUGGAUGCUAUAUUCCUGGCAAUGGAGGGAAAGUACCAGAGAAGCGGCUCCGAUGGAGUGACUGACCAUUCAGAGAAGCAGGUGCGCUGUUGAAGAGCUCCUGGUUUCGUCAGUGGGUCGUGGCAGAUGGGUCGCUAUGGUCCUCCUCUCUAUGGCCUCACAGGUCUACAUAAUGCACUGCAAUACUGUCUCGAAUCCAAGACGAAUUUUGCAAAACCAGAUGGAAGUCCCUCCGUGACACUUUUUUUAAGGCACCUACAGAAGGCCCAACCCAGCGGUUCUGGGGGAACCAAUCAGAAAGAAUGGAAAUACAUAUAUUAUAUCAUUCUUGAUACCUUACAUCCAGCCAACAAGCUCAAGAGGCAACCUCAGCCUUGAAAAUGCUGAUUCGCCUCAGCCACAACCUGUGGAGAUGGAUGACACUGAGGACAACGUGGGUUCCCCGAGCCAUGACCCUGUGCUUCAGAUGCCUGAACAUCAGUCAAGACCAACCACUACAGACACGGCUCAAGACUGGCAUCCAAGAAAAAGAAAACAGAAGGUCAACCAUCAAGAUGUGGAUGAAGAGCUGCUUGCAUUUGUCAGGAAGCCAAUCCCUUCUGCUGCUACCUCAGAUGAUGUGGAUGAGGUAUUUGUGCACAGCCUUGUGUCAGGAAGAAACAAGGGCACUCUGAAAAUGCAACUACUAUCAUUGAUUGUAAACUAGGAUGACCAGCAUGCAACACCUCUGCCACCACUUCCACCACCACAAUGGCUCUUUGAUGCUCUGCAUGGAAGAGUUGGACUGCAGCCUAUGAUGUACGGCCAGCCCAGGCAUCAAUACUCCUACUCACCAGGAUCUAUCUAACACAUAACUAGGAUGACCAGCAGGCAACACCACUGCCACCACCACGGCCUGCAAGUACUCCGCACGGAAAAGGUGGACUGCAGCCAAUCAUGUACGAUGAGCCCAGUGAUCAAUACUCACCAGAACUUAGGUCUCCAACACAUAGCUGGGAUGACAGCUUCAGUACAUUUUCUUAAGAGAGCUGGGUCCAAGAAUCCCAGUCACAUUGAUAAUCCCCUCCUAAAAAGACACAUCCCAUGUUCUGUUUUAGAGUUUUAAAAAGGGAAAGGUUUAUGUAUGCACUAUUUGCACUUCUUUGUUGUUGCAGUUAUAUUUGCAUUGCACCUUGUAUUUAACAUUUUUUUAAUCAUUUUUUGCUAUUCAGUGAAUAUUGUAAUUGGGAAGGAUAUGCCAUUUUUUGUUUACAUGCCUUGCUGUGGCUGUUCAUCUCACCUACAACAGGUGCACCAUGCCUUGUUGUGACUGUUAAUGUCACCUUGAAUAGUUAUAAGUAAAAUGCUAAACAAAGAACAGUGUGUCUUACUUACCUCGAGUAUAAUGAAAAGACACUAUAGCACCUGGUGAUCUUGCUGCUCCCUAAAUGUAAUGGAACAUAGGCCUACAUCUGUGGAGCAUCAUGAUCACCAGUGUGCUGGAGUUUUUUUACACUAUAGUAUACUGCUCUUCUCCAUGCACCUUCUUACACAAUACACCCUUUUCCAAUAACUUACCUUAGAGUGACAGCUAGUUUUUGCUUUGGCUCUAUUGGGGUCCUGUAGUUGGUCGUCGGCUUGGUGAGGUCUGGGCCAACAAAAGACUCCAUCUCUUCUGCACUCAUCCGGAUGUAUCAGUGAUGUCAGGCAUGGUCCAAGAGCAGCU